GACGAACGCUGGCGGCGUGCUUAACACAUGCAAGUCGAACGCUGAAGCCCUGGCUUUUGUUGGGUUGGAUGAGUGGCGAACGGGUGAGUAACACGUGAGUAACCUGCCCUCUUCUUUGGGAUAACGCCCGGAAACGGGUGCUAAUACUGGAUAUUCACUGGCCUUCGCAUGGGGGUUGGUGGAAAGGUUUGUUCUGGUGGGGGAUGGGCUCGCGGCCUAUCAGCUUGUUGGUGGGGUGAUGGCCUACCAAGGCUUUGACGGGUAGCCGGCCUGAGAGGGUGACCGGUCACAUUGGGACUGAGAUACGGCCCAGACUCCUACGGGAGGCAGCAGUGGGGAAUAUUGCACAAUGGGCGAAAGCCUGAUGCAGCGACGCCGCGUGAGGGAUGGAGGCCUUCGGGUUGUAAACCUCUUUCGCUCAUGGUCAAGCCGCAACGGGGGGUUGUGGUGAGGGUAGUGGGUAAAGAAGCGCCGGCUAACUACGUG
RNAcentral lists this ribosomal RNA (486 nucleotides) under uncultured bacterium. Its description in RNAcentral is "partial 16S ribosomal RNA". It matches the Rfam family "Bacterial small subunit ribosomal RNA", at positions 28 to 507 of the family's 1533-position model. The record is from RNAcentral.